Molecule: ribosomal RNA, 691 nt
Filed under: uncultured bacterium
Lineage: Bacteria
Description: bacterial SSU rRNA
Rfam family: Bacterial small subunit ribosomal RNA
Source: RNAcentral
AACGCUAGCUACAGGCUUAACACAUGCAAGUCGAGGGGCAGCAUAUUUAUAGCAAUAUAAAUGAUGGCGACCGGCGCACGGGUGAGUAACACGUAUCCAACCUGCCGUUUACUCGGGGAUAGCCUUUCGAAAGAAAGAUUAAUACCCGAUGGCAUAGUUCUUCCGCAUGGUGGAACUAUUAAAGAAUUUCGGUCAUCGAUGGGGAUGCGUUCCAUUAGGUUGUUGGCGGGGUAACGGCCCACCAAGCCUUCGAUGGAUAGGGGUUCUGAGAGGAAGGUCCCCCACAUUGGAACUGAGACACGGUCCAAACUCCUACGGGAGGCAGCAGUGAGGAAUAUUGGUCAAUGGACGAGAGUCUGAACCAGCCAAGUAGCGUGAAGGAUGACUGCCCUAUGGGUUGUAAACUUCUUUUAUACGGGAAUAAAGUGAGGCACGUGUGCCUUUUUGUAUGUACCGUAUGAAUAAGGAUCGGCUAACUCCGUGCCAGCAGCCGCGGUAAUACGGAGGAUCCGAGCGUUAUCCGGAUUUAUUGGGUUUAAAGGGAGCGUAGGCGGACGCUUAAGUCAGUUGUGAAAGUUUGCGGCUCAACCGUAAAAUUGCAGUUGAUACUGGGUGUCUUGAGUACAGUAGAGGCAGGCGGAAUUCGUGGUGUAGCGGUGAAAUGCUUAGAUAUCACGAAGAACUCCGAUUG